GACGAACGCUGGCGGCGUGCUUAACACAUGCAAGUCGAACGGAAAGGCCCUGCUUUUGUGGGGUGCUCGAGUGGCGAACGGGUGAGUAACACGUGAGUAACCUGCCCUUGACUUUGGGAUAACUUCAGGAAACUGGGGCUAAUACCGGAUAGGAGCUCCUGCUGCAUGGUGGGGGUUGGAAAGUUUCGGCGGUUGGGGAUGGACUCGCGGCUUAUCAGCUUGUUGGUGGGGUAGUGGCUUACCAAGGCUUUGACGGGUAGCCGGCCUGAGAGGGUGACCGGCCACAUUGGGACUGAGAUACGGCCCAGACUCCUACGGGAGGCAGCAGUGGGGAAUAUUGCACAAUGGGCGGAAGCCUGAUGCAGCAACGCCGCGUGCGGGAUGACGGCCUUCGGGUUGUAAACCGCUUUCGCCUGUGACGAAGUGUGAGUGACGGUAAUGGGUAAAGAAGCACUGGCUAACUACGUG
This 468-nucleotide ribosomal RNA is filed under the name uncultured bacterium. RNAcentral's name for it is "partial 16S ribosomal RNA". It matches the Rfam family "Bacterial small subunit ribosomal RNA", at positions 28 to 507 of the family's 1533-position model. The record is from RNAcentral.